UACUGUACUCUUAUGAGUAUGAUCGUUCUCGUACUCAUAAAUAAUUUUAGAUGAUAGAGUUUCUGAAUCGACGAUCCAUACCGUUAAAUAUUAUCUAGAGCAUUUAAAACUUCUACAAAUCAAAUUUUAUAAUUUUUCGACAUCAUUUACCUUACGAUCAAAAUGUCAUAAAAUUGACAAUUUUUAACGGCCAAUAUGCAAUACUUGCUAGUUUAACGGUGUAAAAGAACCGGAAUUGGUUGGAUGUUUGAGAGAAAAUUCUAUUCACUACCUAAAUAAAAAUCGAUAACUCCGAUCUUAAAUUAAAUGAUCCGAUUAUCAAUUUUUAAGACCUCGUUCGAUUUUUAUCAUACAUUUUAUGCCCGCUUGAUAGACUUUAUUAUGAGUUCAAAAAGUUACGAAAUUUAUUUUCUAGAAGUUUCAAAUACUCUAGAUUAUAUUUAACAGAGUGAAUUGUCGAUUCGGAAGCUCCAUUAUUGAAAAUAAUUUAUGAGUACGAAGGCUUCUAUACUCCUAAGAGUUAGGAAUGUCAAUGAGUAUGGAUACCCGAAAUUUUAUCCAAACCCGAACCCGAAUGAAACGGAUAUAUCCGAUAGAAAAUAAAAACCCGACGGAUAUGGAUUUGGAUAUGAAUUUUGAUUGUACCCGAUCCGAACCUGAACCCGACACCCGAACCCGAAUUUAUUUUGUAUUAU
This 695-nucleotide long non-coding RNA is filed under the name Ananas comosus (pineapple). RNAcentral describes it as "long non-coding RNA (ACOM_LNC031163)". Lineage: Eukaryota; Viridiplantae; Streptophyta; Magnoliopsida; Poales; Bromeliaceae. The record is from RNAcentral.